UCUCUCUAAGGAAAUUUUCCCAGUUGUUUGUUUAGUGAGAUACAGGAGAAAAUUAGUGGUACUGGGUAGAGAAUUUUAGUGGAUUUUGUUUCCGGGAAAGUUGGAAAUCAUAAGAUAUAUAAGAUCGCGUUCUUUCGUGGUUUUACGUUUUUCGCAGCUCAAACUUGGAUUGUUCUAGCGUUGUUUGUCUGUGAAUAUAGAUUGUUUUCUCAAUUUCGGUGAACUCUCAAGUUCAUAAUCUUAGUGUGUUUUUAUGAAGAGUCGUGAUAUUGGAACUAACUGAAAAUUUUGCUUGAAUCUCCAGUUGCUUCAUUGCCUCCAUAAUCAUUCUGGUUUUGUUCAUGUUAUUAACGUAGAUUAUUAACGUAGUUUUGUUCAUAUUGUAAUCAUUCUGGUUUUGUGUUCAAGUUCUCUGUGUUUGAUGUUGCUUUUAAUUGGAUUUGUAUUUGUUUCUAUAGCCAUUAUGUAAUUAUCAGAUGUAAAGUAUGUUGGUUCAGCAAUUCAUCAGUUUGUUUGGUGGCAACUUUUGGUUUCAUGCAUCAACUACACGGAUUUUGUAUUGUCGACCUCAUUCGUUCUUUCAAUCUCCAUCUCCCCAUCGAAGCAGAAAAAAGAAGGAAAA
Long non-coding RNA from Cucurbita maxima (winter squash), 622 nucleotides. RefSeq lists it as uncharacterized. The record is from RefSeq and is a predicted model, not a curated record. The transcript has 2 exons. Lineage: Eukaryota; Viridiplantae; Streptophyta; Magnoliopsida; Cucurbitales; Cucurbitaceae.